GGAAUUGGAAUCGUUUACGUCGUCUUUAUAGGAAUGUGUUUUCUGUGAUUGGUCCUUGUAGGGACUUAUGGGGACGUAAGACCGUGGGCCUCAACGCAAAGGACAAAGUUAGUGUCUUUAAUCUGCGUUGGGAGAAUUCUCCAUCCCGCACUGGCUGAGCCCAGAGAAGACUGGAAAACGGAAAAAGAGGACUCUAGGAAAUUCCCAAUAGGGAACAAUGCGUCUGCUUCAGAGUGUCAACGUGAAAAGCUGCCAUCAGCAAGGAGAAUCUUCCUAAAACAGUGUCCACAAAGGGUCUUUAGACCAGCCUCGUAAUAACAGUGCAGAAAAUGAGAAAUGAAGAGGUGAAGAUGAUAAUCAAGACAGGAGAACAGUGCCCACGCCGUGAGUUUGGAACAAAGAAGAUCAGUACAGGUUGGUGCCCAAAAAUGUCUCGUGAGUAGACCAGCCGUACUUUCUCACCAUGCAGAUGAUUUCAUGACCCACGG
This 488-nucleotide long non-coding RNA is filed under the name Sus scrofa (pig). Its description in RNAcentral is "lncRNA (ENSSSCG00060057893.1)". The record is from RNAcentral. Lineage: Eukaryota; Metazoa; Chordata; Mammalia; Artiodactyla; Suidae.